GUUCUACUGAGAAGUCCCAUAAUAGGACGAAACGGCCGUCCAGUGC
Molecule: non-coding RNA, 46 nt
Organism: Schistosoma rodhaini
Lineage: Eukaryota; Metazoa; Platyhelminthes; Trematoda; Strigeidida; Schistosomatidae
Source: Rfam